UCACUCAAGGAGGUUGUGAUG
RNAcentral lists this microRNA (21 nucleotides) under Tribolium castaneum (red flour beetle). Its description in RNAcentral is "tca-miR-307b-5p". Its record names the gene tca-miR-307b-5p. The record is from miRBase by way of RNAcentral. Lineage: Eukaryota; Metazoa; Arthropoda; Insecta; Coleoptera; Tenebrionidae.